ACGGCCAACUCCUCCGCUCAGCACACAGGGAGCAGACAAGGUGCCUGCAUCCCAAUUGAGGGUGAAGAGGAGCCCACCCUGGCCUGACUCCAUGACAGAUUUAAGAAUCAACACAAGAGGAGGGAGGCGGCGACACGUUGACAUGGAGAAGGAAGAGCG
Molecule: non-coding RNA, 159 nt
Organism: Nerophis lumbriciformis (worm pipefish)
Lineage: Eukaryota; Metazoa; Chordata; Actinopteri; Syngnathiformes; Syngnathidae
Source: RefSeq, a predicted model, not a curated record